GACGAACGCUGGCGGCGUGCUUAACACAUGCAAGUCGAGCGGGGAUAAACCCUUCGGGGUUUAUUCUAGCGGCGGACGGGUGAGUAACGCGUGAACAAUCUGUCCUACACAGGGGGAUAACAGAUGGAAACAUCUGCUAAUACCGCAUAAGACCACGACGCCACAUGGUGAUGGGGUAAAAAGAAUUAUCGGUGUAGGGUGAGUUCGCGUCCGAUUAGCUAGUUGGUGAGGUAACGGCCCACCAAGGCGACGAUCGGUAGCCGACCUGAGAGGGUGAUCGGCCACAUUGGAACUGAGACACGGUCCAA
Molecule: ribosomal RNA, 308 nt
Filed under: uncultured bacterium
Lineage: Bacteria
Description: bacterial SSU rRNA
Rfam family: Bacterial small subunit ribosomal RNA
Source: RNAcentral